GACGAACGCUGGCGGCGUGCUUAACACAUGCAAGUCGAACGGAAAGGCCCUGCUUUUGUGGGGUGCUCGAGUGGCGAACGGGUGAGUAACACGUGAGUAACCUGCCCUUGACUUUGGGAGAACUUCAGGAAACUGGGGCUAAUACCGGAUAGGAGCUCCUGCUGCAUGGUGGGGGUUGGAAAGUUUCGGCGGUUGGGGCUGGACUCGCGGCUUAUCAGCUUGUUGGUGGGGUAGUGGCUUACCAAGGCUGUGACGGGUAGCCGGCCUGGGAGGGUGACCGGACACAUUGGGACUGAGAUACGGCCCAGACUCCUACGGGAGGCAGCAGUGGGGAAUAUUGCACAAUGGGCGGAAGCCUGAUGCAGCAACGCCGCGUGCGGGAUGACGGCCUUCGGGUUGUAAACCGCUUUCGCCUGUGACGAAGCGUGAGUGACGGUAAUGGGUAAAGAAGCACCGGCUAACUACGUG
Molecule: ribosomal RNA, 468 nt
Filed under: uncultured bacterium
Lineage: Bacteria
Description: partial 16S ribosomal RNA
Rfam family: Bacterial small subunit ribosomal RNA
Source: RNAcentral